AUGGGGAUCAUGAGGAAGCAACUGAAGAAUUACUUCUACAAGACGCGGACGACGAGCGACACCGGCAAGCACAAUGAGUUCUCUGAGUGGAGGAUUUCAGAGAUGAAAUUAUGCGCGGCGUGCCGCGGCGCACAACCCGCUAGUAAUGGACUAGACCCCCUUUCCUUUCCUCUUCCUCACCCGAGUCUCCACCUCCCCUCCUCGUCACCGCCGACGCCGGAAUCCCCACCCCACCCCUUCUCGCUCGCUCGCGUGUCGCCGCCGCCGUCGCCGUUCACCUUCUCCCUCAUCGCGCCCCUCCCGCAUCCACCCCGUCCGCAAGCUCUGCUGGCCAUCGGGGUUUCAUCGGGUACGGGGUUCUUUUCAUCCGGCGACCCCGCCGGCCCUGCUUCAGGUUUUGUUUGUUUUCGACAGCCCUUCUCGGGGGCUGCUUUCAAGUUGGGAUCUGUAGCUUUCAUCGUCGUUGCAUACAGAUCUGGUUUGCAGCCCACGGUGGCUAUUCCGAAUUUCAUUUACUGCAGUUCCUUUUAUCGGAUUGUUGCUGGAACGAACCCUCAAGGGUUUUCUUCUCACAAGUGUGAAACUGAUUUGGGAUGCAAUUCCUGGUUGGUUAAACUCUUUUCAGCCAAACAAACAGUGGAUCUGGAAUUCCAGGCCAGUUCGGCAGCAAUGGAUAAAACACACAAGGAGGAGGCAGUGAAAACCACAUGUCAUGAAGAUACUACCAGUACUGAUGGAUCAAGCAUGGAUGAAUACGAUCCAUGGAAUCCUCCGUAUCCUCCUCCAUGCCCUCCUGCUGUUGAAUAUAGCUUAAGUGACUCUAUCCGUUUAGUAGCUAAGUGGUCACGUGAGAAAGAAGCUGCACUUGGUGCCCUCAGAGCAUCCAGUAUAAUCUUCCCAGAACGCAUCCCUAAGGAGGUGAAUCAUCUCUUCCAUGAUAAAGUGCACCAUUUGGCACCCAUCCUGGAUAAGGAUAGCGUCCGGCGCUUUCUCAGCUAUAUGGAGAGGAAUGGGCAGGGCAUGCGAUGGGGUUCGAUCAUCACCCCAGAGGCUUUGAACCAUAUGAUUUCACAAAAUGCGGUGAAAUGUGUCAAAAUUGUCUUGGAGGGCCAGGCACCUGAGCUUGAUGGGUGCCGAGCCGGUCCCAACUGCAUGAACCAGUAUGGGUACUAUCCCCUCCACCGAGCUGCUGAAUUUUUUUCGGUUGACAUGAUUCAGUUGCUCGUCCGCCACGGCGCAUCCGCCAAUCUACGCACAGCCGGUGCUGAGGUCAUCGAGGGCCUUCUCCCACUCCAUGUUGCAGUCGAGAACACGUGUAUGCAUAAGUAUCUGGAAGACAGUCUGUUUCCUAACCACGAGCAUCGGGAUUACAGUGUGGCAGAUGCCAACUUUAUCUUCAAGCUCAUCCAUCUUCUGUGCCUACCUGAAAUGAAGAUCUUCUUGGAUACGACUCGGCUGAUUGCAAAAUACACAGAUAAUCUAUUGGAUGAGCUGUGGAAUUACAUAAAAGAGGGAAAGCUUGCCGAGACAGCCGUUUUGCUCAUGGCAGCUCAAGAGCAGAUACGCAUGGGAACUUCUCGCAAGAGAAAUGGAGAUAGCUUUUGUUCAAUUUCUGUUGGAAUAAGAACAACAGGGAAGGAGUGA
Molecule: ribosomal RNA, 1644 nt
Filed under: Triticum aestivum (bread wheat)
Lineage: Eukaryota; Viridiplantae; Streptophyta; Magnoliopsida; Poales; Poaceae
Description: partial small subunit ribosomal RNA
Source: RNAcentral